RNAcentral lists this ribosomal RNA (253 nucleotides) under uncultured bacterium. Its description in RNAcentral is "partial 16S ribosomal RNA". It matches the Rfam family "Bacterial small subunit ribosomal RNA", at positions 524 to 776 of the family's 1533-position model. The record is from RNAcentral.
UACAGAGGUCUCAAGCGUUGUUCGGAUUCAUUGGGCGUAAAGGGCGCGUAGGCGGCCAUGCGUGUCUUCCGUGAAAUCCCUCGGCUUAACUGAGGACGUGCGGAAGAAACUGCAAGGCUCGAGUCCGGGAGAGGGGGGUGGAAUUCCCAGUGUAGCGGUGAAAUGCGCAGAUAUCAGGAGGAACACCAAUGGCGAAGGCAGCACUCUGGGACGUGACUGACGCUGAGACGCGAAAGCGUGGGGAGCAAACAGG